This 1308-nucleotide long non-coding RNA is filed under the name Dendronephthya gigantea. Its description in RNAcentral is "uncharacterized LOC114542651, transcript variant X3". Lineage: Eukaryota; Metazoa; Cnidaria; Anthozoa; Malacalcyonacea; Nephtheidae. The record is from RNAcentral.
UGGCUGCAGACAUUCUGUUUGUCAAGCCGCCUUGAAUAUGUUUAGAGGAGAAGUUUAUGGUUAUGCUCACUAUCUACAUUUAAAUUUUGUUCAUCCAAACAAUGUUAGGUUCUUGUGGGAGGAUGUGAUAUGUAAGUACUGGCCAUGGGCUAAGCGAGUCACUUCAGAGCAGAACAAGAGGGCAUUAACUGAUACAAAACCAGCCUUGUCACUCAUGCAUGGAAAAUCGCACAGUUGGAACUGUCAGGUUAUUUGGAGUGGAAGAUGGCAAGAAGGUGCUGCUGCAACUCCUGGGGAGGAAGUUGAACAAAUCAACAGCUAUCUCUCCAGACUUGGAUCCACCACCAAGAAUAUGAUAGCAUCAGGUCGCGAGGAUUGCAUCACUGAGCAUCUAUUGAGUUGGAAUAAGCGAAAAAUCUCUAAUCUACCUAAGCUGUUGGUUCUUCGCCUGAAAAAGACGGAAAAGAAACUGGACGAGGCGAAAACGGAACUUGCUACACGUAUGUGCGUGAGAUUAAUUUAUCAGACGCUGAUUUGGAUCCCUCAGUUGUGUCAUGGAAAAGAGAUGUUCAGCAGUUUGCUACUGAACAAAAAGCAGGAAAAAAUGUUGACGUUGGGGAUUUAGGAGAAUUCUACCUUUUACAUCAUGUGGUACAAAAUGCUCAACAACUAAAUACGUUUAUAAAACAAAGCAGUUGAAUAAGAACAUGGAAAGAUUGCGUGUUUUGUCGUCCGAGCUUUUGAAUUCCACCGUAACAGAGGAGGAGCUUCUUGCUCGGGGGAAGGUUGAACUUGCGAAAGUAACAUUGUCCAGGUUGCAGAGAAAAUUGGAGAUGCUGUACUUUUCCAUUACGAGGCGGAUGAAGGAGAUUUCGUCGCUUGCUGAUUCUAGUAAAAGGAGAUCAUCUAUGCGAGCAAAAUGCUGAAGGGAAAAAACAGAAAUAGCGUCCACAGUAGAAGAGUUGAAUUCAGUUAACAGCCUUCUGAAACUGCCUGCGACAAGUGCUGAGGCUAUUCUUGCGGGAGAUUUUCUUUGGUCGUUUAGUGAGGAACCAACAACUACGAAAAGUCUUCCUGUACGAUACAAGGCACAGGUAGUAGAAAAGUUCAUGCUGGUUCAAAGGCUAAAAGAAGAAGAAGACCAAAUAAGAAAAGAAAUGAAGAACUUCCUCGUGUUCUAUUUAAAGAAUAUUUUGGACAACCUUCAUCAAAGAAAAGCAGACAUUAAUGAGCGAAUAGGUAUAAGUAUCAGAUAUUUUCCGAACUUUUGCAAUAGCUGUUAUUGUAUAAAGUCUUGACAAUAAACUU